This 239-nucleotide long non-coding RNA is filed under the name Mytilus galloprovincialis (Mediterranean mussel). The record is from RNAcentral. Lineage: Eukaryota; Metazoa; Mollusca; Bivalvia; Mytilida; Mytilidae.
CACAUAAGCAACACGACGGGUGCCACAUGUGGAGCAGGAUCUGCUUACCCUUCCGGAGCACCUGAGAUCACCCCUAGUUUUUGGUGGGGUUCGUGUUGUUAAUUCUUUAGUUUUCUAUGUUGUGUCGUGUGUACUAUUGUUUUUCUGUUCGUCUUUUUUCAUUUUUAGCCAUGGCGUUGUCAGUUUGUUUUAGAUUUAUGAGUUUGACUGUCCCUUUGGUAUCUUUCGUCCCUCUUUUA